UUACUUAUAUUUCUUUGACCAUUCAAAUCUCUGGCUCUUGGUCGACCCACAAAAAUCCACCCUUAUAAACCCUAAGCAGACCCAAAAAUGUACAGCUAUAGUCUUAUUUAAAACCCAACAUGGUCAGUUUUGGACAGUGGGUGAUCUGAUUUUGACAUUCACAGUUUCACAUGGAGAUAAUGAAAGCAAUGGAAGUACAAGGGUGAGUUUUACAACAAAGAUAUACAUGAUAAAUUGGAUAAAAAUAUAUAAGCAGAAAGCAAACCAAUUUCAUCAUGUGGUUGGUUCAGCAGAGCAUACUGGUCUGAAUUCAAACUUAUGAGUAAACAAAGAGCAUAUUUUGAAUUGAGGCCAUGCUGUAAAUUGAAUCUUUCUGACUAUUGGGGGCAUGUGCAUGUGAAUCCAAACCUCUAGUUUUUCUAUGUAUCCCCACUUGAUCUAGGUAUAAUCUCAGAGCAGUUCUUAAUACUAUAUCUUUCAAACCACAAUCCCAGUAAAAGAAAUAUACAGGAGAAAUAAUAGAAGAAAGGUGUGGCAUCCAAGCCAUAAACAUGAAGCAUGAGUUCCAAAGCAGUGUUUAACUGUAAAAGAGAGGAAAAGAAUGAGGGAGAGAGAGAGAGAGAGAGAGAUUCUUUAACUAUAUGGUAAAAAUGGGGUUGGGGAUAGAGUUCAAUUAAAGGAACAUUUAACGCCCAGUAUCCAGAAUUGGGCAUACCAUGUGUGGGGAGACAGAUAUCUUGUAUUCACUAUGAUUCACGAGGUUAAAAUGUAUUUGUUUUAGAUGGGAAGGACUAGAAUAUGUGUUUGGGUGGGGCUGCAUAAUGGAGCACCGUACAGGAGCUGCGUCAUCCCGAAGAAAUGAUGGAUCUCAAGGAGGAGAGAGGGAAUUCAAGAACCAGGGGAAGGGAGGGGGGGUAGUACAGAGAGGAAGAAAAUAAUAAGGUCCUAAAUGGGAGCAUCCAAUGUUAUCAUAUGCCCAUGGUACAUGCAGCCAUACAAUCAAACACACAAUUGAAUUCAUCAUAUGGGUGGGGGUGGCCCGGUGGGUCUCUGCUGCUCUCAACACUAAAUCAACACUCUCACCAAGUCCCACUACUCGUCUGCAGCACUGCUCACCACACCAUUAUAAAUACCAGCAAACCUCCCUCCCCACUACAAACCCAGUCUACCCUGGUCAAUCAUCUCUCUCUUUCUCUCUCUCUCUCUCUCUCUCUCUCUCUCUCUCUCUCUCUCUCUCCACUUACUGUGUGUAGUUUCUGCUGAUGCUCAGAGUUUUACAUGGAUGACAAAUGGAAAGCAUCGAAGAAGGAAGGUUCAAGCAGCCGUUCCUCUGCUUCCUCCAGUGCUUCUCUCAUGAGGAGUUGCUCACAAAAGACCACUUGUUCCAAGUCCCCUCUCAUGAGGAGUUUUUCACAAAAGAGCUCUUCCAUCACGAGAAAGUGUAGUAACUUAGCCAAGGAACAGAAGGCCAAGUUUUACAUCAUAAAGCGUUGUGUUAGCAUGCUUGUCUCCUCAAACAAGCAUGGAGAUUCUUGAAGGGAAGGGAAGGGGGCAAGCUAUGUAGGCAGAUCGAGUAAGGAGCAAAUUCUCUCCUCUCCUCUCCUCUCACUCUCCCUAUCCCCCUUCUUCCUUGGUGAUGCCUCCUGGGUUUGUUUGAAAAUCCAGAUAUGCUCUCUGCCAUCCAAUCAAGAAGAGAUCAGUUUCAUAGAUUUUCCUUGUCUUUUUUUUUUUUUUUCCUUUGUGUAUUGUAGAUUUAAACUGUAACUUCAAUUGAGUUGAGCUACAAAGUGUUUCACGUUGUGAGAAGAGAUUAGUAUAAUAUUAUUGAACAGUUUUCAAUCAAACCUCAAUACUAGAAAGAGUUAUUACACUCCUCUUGAUGCGUUUGUUUGAAGGAUGUUGCAUACUAUCAUCCCCAUCUGUUUUCCUAGUCCUAUUCUCUUAUUUUUGUCUGGAUGAGAGACAGAGAGGGAGAGAUUCCCUUAAGCUGUUGGAACUACCAAUAUAAUAGGACAUGAUUAGUAAUUGGAUCUGCAUCGUAAAUGCAUCCCCAUCUGCCCUCUUUUGGAAAAAAGAGGUGAAUCGGGAUCCGUUAAAAAGUGAUAUCAUAGUAUUUAAGGACUGCAGCUAAACCUUAGCUUCAUUAUAAAAUAGGGAAUGGCCCAUCUCCAAUUAUUCUCCCUCCAUUCAUUCCCAACAAGAAGGUAUUGCAACCCACCACAUGAUAGAAUCCCCUUCAUAAUUAACUGUAUCAAGAACCAUCCAGAAUAUCAUGAUUUGGGCCUUCUGAUUUCAAUCAAUCCUUUCAAUGGUGGCAUGUCAAUUUCUAAGAAUCUCCAUCAACACAGGGUAGAUGAUGAAGAUCGGACAAUAGUUCACAAGAACUAGAAAAAAAUAUAACAGUUGUUAAGACAUGUUUAUUCUCCAUCCUCCCACCUCCUACCAGCUCAAGCCUUUCCAACACAACUUCUUAGCCGAGAUUCUUGCUGAUCUAAUACCUAGAAAGACCGGGCCGGACACUAAUGCAUGUAGAAAACCUCAUUAGCCUGGAUUACUAUCGGGAAAGCUCUAGCUAGCCUUCCCCAAUAGAGCUUUUCCAGAAGUUAUUAAUGAGAGCUCUAGUAACUCCAUACAGGGAGGUCUCACUGCUGAGAUCCAUGAACAUCCUUGCUAACCAGAGCUCAAGUUUUUACCAAGACUCACCAAUUCACUUAUGGAAAAUAAUGGACAAGGUUUCUGUAGCCAAGCAAAGCCCCAUCUUGUUUAUCAACCCUCAUCCUUUCUGACCCUUUAGCCUAAACAGUAUAAAGGAUAACCUGAAAAAGGAUUGUUGCGGGUCACUGGUCUGCACAACUUUCCCUUUUCUGAUAUUGGGACAGACCGUAUAGAUAUAAGACCCUAAGGAUGGCACAGACAGAGCUAAAAGAAAAAGAUCAUGAAUUUGAAAAUAUUUUCUCGGUAGAAUUUGGAUCCUCCACCUUCACAUUGAUUGAUUAAUAAGUCUUCUCCACCAAAAUCACCAUCAUUAUCAUAUAGUAAGUGCGUGACCAGACACAUCGUGAUCAUUAAGUUCUUGGCCAUCAUAACGGAAAUCUCAAGGAGAACCUGGUGUGUGAGCUCAAAUCUUUGACCAAGAAAUGGCCACAUUAUUCCUUUUUUUAUAAGCCCCAUCUGGACAGCUCUGUUAGUAAGCCGUUAUCGCUACAAAUAUAGAUAAUAAAUUAACCCCAAAGCUAAACUAUUCUAACCCAACUCAACAUACCUACAUAUGCAUGUAAAAUUGAACCAGAAGCUAAGAAAACUGAAAUCUUACUUUCACAUCCCACAUCCCCCAUAGGCCAUUUUAACAUCCAUCCAUGAAAUUUUAAAAAAGAAAAUAAAGAAAUUGAAUAAAAUGUAAAUAAAUCACCCUCUUGCAGAGCAGACAAAUCAAGAAGAGGGAAACAAAUGAAGUAGGUGAUGGCAUACCUUAGUAAUAAGCCUCUCAAGACUGAGUUUCAUGACCCUACUACAGCUUUUCUUUUAUAUAUAUACAAAUGGCCCACUGCUUGUUUUUAUAUGGAUGGGUUAGCUGGAACCAGAGGUCUGUGACUAGAACAGGGGCAAUGCCGGACGAAAUGAUUCAGCAAGUUAGCUCCGAAACAUAAACCAGAGAGUCCCACCAUCAGACAACUAUUUCCGUAGCCUAACAUGUUACAGCUUCUUCCUCUCUGGCCUGAUUUCCAUGGUCCAAGUAUAGGCCCUGAUCUUCCGCAUACCGGUUGCUUGAAAUUCAUCUGAACUAAUGUAUGCAGUCGUGGCAGUAUUGCAUACACAAUUCAAGUUAUCAUGCUUUUAAAGUAGCACUCAACCCAGGUACGAUUGAUGACAAAAACUCACCAUUCCAUCAGAAAAGGAAAGAACUGAUGAAGAGAAUAAAUAUUUAUAUAUAUAUACUGCAGCAGAAAGAGAAUAAUGACAUGCAGAUACAGUACAUUUUUAUAUCAGAAUAAUUGCAAAAACCAAUAUUCUAUAAAACAGCCUUCUCUUUUGUAGAGAAGACUGGAAUGAAACAGCCUUAGCUGCAUAUCAUCCAAGUACUCCUUUUGCAUGUUCUGCAUUGUCCCUGUAAAUUUCCCAUCCUGAAUGUGACAGCUCAGAGACCACCACCCUUUAUUUCAUGGUCCCCUUGCACUCUUCUUCACUACUUCAUUCUGAUGCAAGCUCUGUACCGUUUUGGGAAAAUGAUGAUCUCUCCAAAUGGACUACCUAAUGCAAAAAAUCAAAAGCCUUAAUGCAAUGUAUUCCAUCAUUGAAUUGAGAAUCCAUUUGGGGCAUGCCCAGUUAAAAUUGCUGAGACCCAACACCUGAAAGUGAACCAGAAGCAUCAAUUUUAAGCGUUCAGUGUAAAAGCUGAUCAAGAAUAAGUUGAAAUCAGACAAAGUCUAACCCCCGGAUAGCAUCACACUGGGUUUUGAUGAAGUACUUGUGAUCAGUUUAAGCUGUGUCAUUCAAGAUCAAUUCCGAGGUUGCAGUGCAAGGGAGUUAUAAUGGGGAAGGGUACUUGAGGGGUUUCGUGGCGGCGACGUGUUCAUUCCCAAAUCCAAACCAUGAUACUUCAUUAUUUUUUCAUAUAUAUAUGGGUGGGGCUAUGCCUCAGCAAAACAAGGCAAUAUUCAAAUCUAUUCCCAACCCUACUUCCGUUUUUAGAAAAAAUUAUAAAUUCAUCCUUAACCCAUUUAUUUUCGUCUCAAGUUCUUGAAUUUUGUAUGAUUGAAAUCAAGCUAAACACUUCGUAAAAUAAUAAUACUGCACACGUUUUGCAGAGAUCAAAGAAGAAUCUAUUAAGUGUGAUAGAAUCAAAUACAUCUCUCCUAAAGUUAUCUACACUCAUAAGCUCCAAAACAAUGAUAAAAUCGAUGUUCAAUAAAUUUGAUGAAGUAAUAAUCUAUAUAACCUAUUCCACUAAGUAUUACUAAUUGUUAUAUCGAAGAAGCUAAGAUAAAUCAUCAAAAUGCGUGGGAACAAAAAUUUGUUAUACAACAAAGAUUUAGAAAACAUUAUACCAUAAUGAAGGCAUUAUUAAAAGACUUUAUUAGUGCGUUGUACUUUUUUUUCCUUCUAUAAUAUUUCAUCCCAUUAAAUUUUAGCGGGAAGGUUGUUAAUGAGAAGUCCUCAAAUCACAACAGUGAUCCAAGGAAUUAUUGUUAAGUAUCUUUUAAGCGUGGAAGUGGAAGUCUAUAUAUGAGAAGACAUUUGGGGUUAGUUAAAAAGACAGAAAAAAAAGGAUCAUCUUUCUACUUCUUUUCUCAUAUCACUCUUAACCAGCCAUUUUUAUUGUUCUCUUUUUCAUUUCACAACAAACAAGGAUCGUUUACAAGCGUUAUUGAUAUUCAAACCAGCUGCAAUGAAACAAAUAGUGGGGAAAACUAAAUUCAUGAGUUCACUAAUCCCAAAUCAUAACAACAGCUAUGACUCCCACCCCAGCAAGCACAGCAAGAAACUUGAAAAAGGGAGUGUCAAAAUAAAGCUGAGUUUGUGGUUUGAAGCCCUUGGCAACGAGAUGGUUGAUGGCAACAUAGAUGAAAACCCCACAAGCAAGACCCAUUGAUAUAGCAUAUAUCCAAUCAGCUGCCUUCCCUUGGGUUGUGGCAUCUAUGGCAAUGCCUAUUCCCACUCCGAUGGGGCUCGAAACCGCAAAGGCAAAAGAAUAGGCCGCAGUUGUCACAAAUGGCCUCUUGGGUUUCAUCCUCAGCAGUGCAAUUCCCAUUGCAAUGGCUGCAAAUAUCUUGUGCAAUGAUAUUGUCCACAGGUUCCUCCAUGCUUCUGCCUUUGUACCUGAAGAACACAAACUUGUUAAGAUGGAAUCGGCUGAAGCUGCUAAACAAACAAUCAAAUCACAACCAAACGCAUGAUAGAUUUUCAGGUUACCAAAAGAAAACCCACAAACACACACACCCCUAUAUGAAUAUCAAAUCAAGAUAAGCCCACAAACAAGCUAGUACUGGGUUAAUCAAAACUACCCAACCUUCAAAAUAUGGCUACCAGUGCUAGGGGGAAGCUCAAACUUGAUCUAUAUGCAAGUGUCAAAUCUUUUGCACCCCAUAACAUAGCUAAGUAAAUGUCAAAGUCUGUUAAAUGACCAAAUUUUUGUGCAUAAAUGAGAGCUUCCAAGGUAACACAUGAUGGUAGCAAGUUGUGUUUUUAAAGAGUUUACCUGAAACCCCGAUGGCAAUGCCCUCAAAAACUGAAUGAAAACACAGAGCAAGGAUGAGAAGCAUGGUGUCCCCAAAAGAUGUUGUCUGCAAGAAUGCUGGGUUGAGACCCACAGGCACCUCUGUCGCACCCUCCUCAGCAGCUUCCACUUUUGCCUCUCUUUCGCUACCCUUGGUAACAAAGAUCACUAUGCAAUCUCCUAACAUGGUGAGAAGAUAACCCGCUGAUGCUAGCAUGAAGGCAAAAGGGUAUGCUUUUGCUGUGAGCUCUUCAAAAGUCUCAUUGGAGUCGCUCAAGAAAUGCAUUAGAGAGGUCCCCAGGAAGACCCCGCCUGCAAACUGCGUGCCCAGCAGAAGAAAGCUCUCAUUCCAUCUAUAGAAGUAAGGGGAAACUCCACCUGCAAAAGUGCUCACGAAGAGGAUUAUUAGACACCAGAUUUUCACCAAAAUUAAACCUCUUUCAUGCAAGUCUUCAUCACCGCUGUUGCCAUGGUCAUCACCUCCAUGAGCGUAGAUAGUGGAGAAUUUUAGAAGCAAAAGUGCUGUGAUUAGCAAGGUUGACUUGAGAGCUUUGGAGGAAGGAACAGAGGCCAUGAAUGGGGUCAUCAAACUCUUCUUUUGGUUUGAAUCAGUUAAUGUUACUAGGACAAAUAGGAGAAGAAAGGGCUAUGAUAAAAUAAAAAGCUAGAUAUCUCUCCCAUUUCUGGUACUUCGCAGUACAGCAUUGACUUUCCAAGAUUGUACUACACAAAAUGGAAUAUCGCUACUAUAAGAAAAUAAUCAUACAAUUAAUACUAAUCAUCCAUCAUUGGGCCAGUGAGGGCGGAAUUUCCAGAGCAACAGCCCAGCCCAAAACUCAUUCAACCCUAGAAAUUUGGACCAGAAGACCCUGAGCUGUAUUACAUCAUAUAGGAGAUAUGACAAAUAACAGCAUAGCAUAAAUUGCAUACUAUGACAAGGGUGAUCAAAGCGAUGACGAAACUAAUGAUGAUGAUGCUGGGUUUUAAUCUGUUAACUUCCAACUUUUUUCUAAAGUAGCAGUGUGUUUUAUUUAAAGCCUGUAGUAUGCCUAAAGGCCAUUUUUGCCCUGAAGUUGUAGUAGAAUUCUCUAAAAUAUAUUUGAGCCUCGUACCAGAAUUGUGCCAGCACCCUCAAAUUUUCUUCUUCUUUUUUUUUUUUUUUUUUUUUUUUUAAGGAAAAAAAAAAAAGUGACAACAGAUAACCUAAGAAUGACAAACACAAAUAAUAAAGGAUGAAAAUGACUGAGGGGCUUGAAAACAAAGGACAAGGGUUAAAAAUGGUAAUCUAACAAAGUUGGUGUGUGCCCAUGAUUUCAUCACAAGAAGCCCAAGCAAAAAUAAACAACUUUUCUAAAGUUUAUACACAUAUAUGCUGCAGCAUUUAUUAUUUUCCAGUAUGAUAGAUGAUUGCAUACACAGAUUGUACUACUUUGAAAGCUAUUAAACCAUUUCUGCAUCAUCUAUUUCACUCUCCCUGCUCUCCUGCCAUCCUGCCCCGACCCUAAAUUUACAGACAGGGCAUGUGCCUUGUUGUCGCAGCCAUGGAUCAAUACAGUUGGCAUGGAACUGAAAAUCAUAAUAGCAGUUACAAAUGUCAAAAUAUAAAACAAAUUGAAUGGCAUACAUAUCAAGAUAAACUUCAUUUCCAACCUAAAGUUAGAUGCAAAGUAAGUGCAAUGAUAAGAUUCAGCAAGAAUUUUGGAGAACAUUCCUAGGAAAAGAGAGGAAGAACAAGCUUCAGGAGAGGCAACACAUGUUCAAAAGUAUGCUGCAGAUGGAUAGAUAGAAAAAGGGGCAUAUAUCAUCCUCAAAUGAUGGAGAAUAAUUCAUUAAUUUUGCAGAGAAUAGAGGAGUAAUUGGCGAAAUUUGACACUCUAGGGUAAAAUUUCAAGAAAGAUUAUUUAAAAAAAAAAAAAAAAAAAAUUGUUUGUAGCAUUUGUGGUAAUUAGCAAAUAGUGCAACAUGUUAUCAAAUUAAGUAAACAAAAAUAUUAAGCAUGAUCAAAGGCUUGAAUAAAAAAAUCCAAUAAUGCAAAUGGGACAUUAAUGUGACAUUCUGAACCAGAUUCAUCAACUUAUAUUAUCACAAAGAAACAGAAUAAAUAAAUAAAUAAUUAGUGGCAUCACAGUAAGAAGAUGAUGAACCUGGUGCAAGCAUGGCAAGCUACGUACAAGCUCUCCCCUGUUGACUUGCUCCAAGCAAAUGCUGCAUGUCAGUUCAUCUUCUGAACCCUUCAUGCUGCUGUCCCCCUUUCUAGAGUCUUGCCUAGCCUUCUCGUCAAACUGGAAGUGAGAAAUUAAAAACAGUACACAAGAGAGUAUCCAUAAUGAUUAAGAAACAGAUGCCCACUUCCUCUCCCAACCUCAAUGCCCACAUCUAUAUCCGCAAACAGACAUGUACAAUCAAAGAUGCUUUGUGAAACAAAAUUAACAAAGGAAGUUUCUCCUAUACUCAGUUCGACAUUUACCCAGAGGGAAUAAACUAGAGAUUAAAUGCAGGCAUGAAUGCUAUAACAGAAGUCCUAUACUCAGUAAGGUAUGGAGUGAGUGGAUGAAAACACUGUUUAUACUUUAUAUAACCUGUCUAGAGGUUCUCUAUUAGAUAAACUGUCCUAACAGCCAAAUGAGCCCUCCACUGAUUAAUAACCAUGAAAUAUAAACCUAUUUUAUGUUAUACCAUCUCCCUCAAGAAAGAAGGGUGGGUUGCAAGGUAGGAGGUUCAAUGAAGAAUUCUGGAAAGGCCAGUUUCUGACAUAUGAAACCUGACACGGAGACUUAAAGGGAUUCCAUGAUCAUAACUUCAUCCAGUCACCAUGUUUAUAAUAAGAACUUUUUAAUGAGGUAUGCAGAACAUGAUUCUUAUAAUAUUGCAACUUUUCUUUUCCUCUGGAUUCUUACUUCUUAGCAACUGAUAGAGUUUUAGGGAUAAUGUAUUACCACCAGAACACCAGUAACUUGUCAUUGCCUUAUUAUCACUCUCCAUGUUCUUAUUGGUCAUGCAAUCAUACCUAAGAGAACAAAAGAAGAAUACCUCAGCUGAGGCUGAAGAAGAUGCAGCCUGUUGCAUUGAUGACCCCUCACUGUUAACAAAUUCAAAAUCAUAUCAAAUCAAUAGAAUUCCCAUUAAAAAAAAAAAGUGAUUUCUCAUCAAACCCCACAAUACUCCUAGAGAACUUCAAAAAAAUUGAAAAUAAUAAUUCUUGAUACAUCACAUAAAUUUGCAAGAAAAUAGACUACCAAUACAAAUCCUCUCAAGUUACCUUUGUGGACCAGUGACCUUAUACUUGUGAACAGGUAAAGCAUUGAUCUCUUCCUCACUCAGUGAAGUUGAGGAAGUAUUAUCAGAAUCUAGUGAUCUCAAGGUUUCAUAAUCUGUGGCAGAAUGAAUAAUUCAUGAUAAGUGCAAUUUCAAAAUAAACCUCAGCUAGAACCUUCUGAUAAUUUCUAAAGAAAUGCACGAAUUCAACUUCAAGUUUGAAGCAUGGCAUAUGUUGCACAAUAAUUGACUUGACCAUACCCAGGUCAUCAAAUUCGCGAUCAAGAAGUGCAAGCUGGAGUCGCAAUCCUUGUAAUCGCCCUCUAGUUGCAAAAGCUAUUGAUGGUGGCAUACGCAAACGCAAUUCAGUAUGACCAAGUAGGCCACUGGCAGCUGCAGCAUGAGCUUGGGCAUGAGCUUGUAGUUGUUGACAAGUUGCAUACAUCCUCAAGCUCGUGGCCAUAAAAAAGAACCCCACAACUAGCCAGAGCUACACAUAUAGAUUUACAUGAAUACCUCUUCAAUUGCUAUUUAACAAAUUAUGCUUCAGAAUUUUCAGAAAGACUAACAUGCCCACAUUAGAUGCCAGUGAGAAAAUACCAGAAAGUUUGGUGACAUCUGAUGAGAGUUCAAAAUCAUAAACAGCAAAAGCACUGCCGAGCAAACAGAUAAGGAAUGGAUUAGAAAUGAGCACAACUAGAAUAGUAAACAAUGGAGAUAGAGCAAAUAGAUUGGAAACAUUACCUGUGACAAGAAAAGCCAGUGAAUUAGUGUUAACUGGCCGAGCUGGAUGAAGACGCUGAUAGAAAUAGGGAGAAGAAUUGGCAUCACAAUGGAUUAUGUCUACCAUUGCAUAAUCUCAAAUAUAUAAUCACUGACAUUGGAAAACACAGUACAAUAAGACAUAUAUAUGCAUGUGAGAGGAAACGCACCACUGCAGGUCUCUGAGGAAUAAAUCCUGGAAGUCCACUUUCUAUAUCUGCUCGAGACCCACGAAAAACAAAACUCAUGGUCGCAGGAGUGACCGCAAACCUCCUUACCUAAAAGAAUCAAAUGAUAGGGGAACACAAAGUAUAUUAGUUAUAAAUAUGCUAUCCACACCUUCGAGAAUCUGUAAAAGCUUUGAAGCUUAUAAAUUACUCAGCUAAAUUCAAGCAUAACCAACCCCAUAUAACGGCAAUUAAGGUUUUGCUUAUCCUCACACAGGAAGUACGACCCAAAAUAAUAAUAAUAAUAAUAAUAAUAAUAAACGAUAUUAAAAUGAUCAGAUCACAAAGCAAGAAGCCGCAAUCCCUUAUCUUCAAAAUGUUCAUGCCAACCAUAUGUGCUAAAUGAAACCUUGAUCUCCCACUCUCCAAUCAAUAUAGUUAAAUUAAAAUGAACUAAACUCAUCAUCUAGAAGCAGUAGUCAACUUUAAUUCUUAUUAAAGAAUUCUAGAUCUGUUUACACUUUCAAAGCAUCAUUUUCCACCACAUUGCAAAACCAUUGCAUAAAAAAUCCCAGACCUACAGCAUUACUUCGAAACAAGGUCAAAACCGCUCCUUUAGAGCUACAAUUUUAAUUAACAGCUACAAUUGCAACAUUCAACAAACACACAAUUUCCCCAUAUUUUGCCAGGAGAGGAAGAAUCCAGUAAAACCCUAAUCAGUAUCCCUCCUAAAAAUUUCUCCAGAACCAGCGAUUAAUACACCCAAAAUCACGACCACACCUCAACACCACUGAUGGACAACGACAACUACUUCUACUAGCGCUAGUACAUCUCCAAACACCGAUUCCAACAACACAAGAUCCACAUUGUCCCGAUUCUUCUUACAAAAACAUUCACAUCGGAAAUCCACACAACAACAUCGAAACAAACCUCCGUUUGGCCGCCGAGAAACAGAAGGAAAAGCAGAAAAAACCUGGAACCAUGGGAGAGUGAAUUCCAGUUUUCAAGAUUCCGAAUUUUGCAUCUCUUUUCCCUGAGAUUUCUCGACAACCAAAGAGAAUCUAAAGAAAAAAAAAAAAAAAAAAGCGUUGCACGAAACCUGAAAUCACUGGAAUUCGCAGAAUGGGGGACAGAUUCAUUUGCGGGUGAAUUCCCUGUGUUUCCUGCAGUUGCAGUGUAUUGUUUAUGGUAGAUUUACUUGGAGGCCUUUCUGGGAAAUGCCACGACACGUGGACUUGCAUGUCACCGGACCGCUGCCACGACAUCGAACAGCAUGUCAUGAGUGAACCGCACAGCACUUUGGGAUUUGGACCAUCUGCAGUCGCUUCUCUGAUCGAUAGUCGCAAAAAGGAAAGUGGGAUUUCAAUUUCAGCAUGUGGGGUGGGCCUUCCACCUAAAUCAUUAUUAAUCAUUUUAAAUUUUAUAUUUAUGAAUUAUGUUCGUAUUUAUAAUUAUUUACCAUAUGAAAUUGGUAUCAUUAUUUUUUUUUGGUUUAAAGGCAUUGUGAUUUGUCAAUUGUCAAUGUCAAAUUUCUGAUUUCAGAUAAAAGGUCGGUAGAAGGGGACGAAACCGCCUCCCACCUCCAUAAUCACAGACGCAUUAGCCUCCAACUCCAAGCAUAGGCUUCCAACACGUUACUAACAGUGAGGUGGACCUUGGCCACAGAGUGCCUGAGAUAUUAUUUGGUAUGGGAAUCCCAAGGAUUCGAGUCAUAUGGCUUCCAUUCGGACAUGUUUGCUGGGAACUCAACUAUUGGGUAAUGAUUAUUCGAUUUUUGGGACCGACCAAACAAGUUCCAGGGCAUCUCUCUCAACUCGGCAUGGUGUGGCAUUGAAGGGAAAAAAGAAAUUGAUUAUGGUCAGAAAAUCAAUAUUUGAAAUGGGUGGACUCAAAGUACUGAAAUUGCUUACUAAGGAAUCAGCGUAUAAAAUGAAAUACACCCAUUGGGUAUGGGAUUCGCAUGCUUCACAAUUUCGUACACGGCCAUGCGAGCUGCUCAAUGUCCUCUUCAAGCAAGACACCCAAUCGGGAAUAAAAGCCUUUUGGGCGAUCUAGCAUGGACCUUGUUCGCCAUUGUUGGGUCAAAUCGCUGUUUCGAGUGAUUUGUAAGCAUCAAACACUUGAACACGGGGGUAUGAACUUGAGAACUUGAUCAACUAGAAAGUUGUUCGAAGAUGGAAAUGGUGCCUCAAGUAGAGCGUCAGGUUGCUGCUGGGGAGCUGCUUUUGAAGGUAAUGGUCAAUUCCUGGACGGGUAAAAAGGGUACUUCAGGGUUUAGGGUUUUAGGUACCACACAGAUGUUUGUAUAGGACUUCUUGACGCUUGCUUUCUGUUCACUUCUUUUUGGCUAUUUGCGAACCGCCUAAUUGGAGAAAUUGCCCUGGAAAGAGGCCUCUCUACAUCCCACCCACAAGGCACAUGACUAAAGGCUAAAGCUGAGUGAUUUCUUCGCAAACACCAAACACAGAAGCCAUCAGAUGGGAAAACAAAAGCUUCUCCUUAGUCCCAAAAGGAGAAGCAAAAAACCAGAACCAACAAAGCUGCAACUCCAAUCACAUCAUUUACGAAUCUUUGUCAUGUUUUGAUUUAGAGGAGAAUAAAAUAGGCCAACAUUCCACCAUAUCCCACUUUCACCCAUAUUAUACCAACCCCAAACCCCAUAAUCUGAACCAUCGCCAGAAAUUCAGGAGGUUUUGAAGUGCACAUUUAAGUCGUGGCAGAAGCCAGUUGCUUUAGUAAAAGGGCCAGACAUGGAUGACAAAUAAGGAUGAGAGAGAGAUGUGAGAGAAGAUGAAAACUUGAUGAAAUGAAUACAAGGAAAAGAAUUUCUGACGAUAACUGGAGAUUGGAAUAGAAGCUAAAAACAAAUUACAAAAUUUUUUGUUUUGGUAGGAACACAAAUUACAAAAUUAAGCAAGUAACGAAUGCUUUCUUAAAGCUUUUAUGCCAUUAGAUCCGCUACCAAGGCAAACCCAUUUUCCUCACUUCCCAAAGCUUUGCUGCAAACCUUUCCUUCUUCUCCUGCCAAUUCUUAAUCCUUGAAAACCAAUAACGCCCAACCAUUUAUGUAGCAAAUGUAAGACCCCUUGAAAAGGAAAAAGAAAAAGCUAUUUACAGUGAUCCCAUCCAGAUUGCGAAACAAAAAAAAAACUGAAAUUUCUUAUAUUUUCAUUCCCAAAUUCACCAUCUUGAAUUUCCACUUUGAUCUUCCAGUACCCAAGCUCUGCUCCUCCUCCGAACGUAUCUACUGAAAACCGAACUUGAGUGACUGUGACUUCUGGUAAUGGACCCAGGUUCUGAAGUUGAACGAGAAGAUGAUGAGGAAGAAGACCUAAACCUCCCUAAAAAUGAGAAAAUGUUGCGAAAAGCUCUGCCCAGUGAUCCGCCGCUCUCUCUGGAUCGGCUUCGUCUGGAUGCCCAUGAAAUCCUCCUUGGAGCACCACUAUUAUUGAACCCACCAUCCAUUUCUGUGUACACCACAGGAAGCUCACGCUCGCCGGCUCUUCUUCCUCCGGAAAACCUCCCCACGGCAAACCCACCGCCAGGAAGCCUCCAUAUGGUCAGCCCCACUGUCUCUUCUUCGUUUGGUGCCGGAGAAAGUGCUUCAUUUCCAGAUACCGGCGAGUUCCUUGUUCCGGGAACGUCCGUCGGCAACUCGUGGCGGCAAACAGGGCAUGAAUUGCGGAGAGAUAGCCAUGGGAGAAUACAAUCGGAAUGAUAGAUAUGCUUACAGGGCAUUUCGCGAGCCUCCGAACCCAGCUGGAACGCCUCUUUGCAUACCGCACAGUGCAACUCUGUGACGAUGUGGCUAGACACGAUCUCGAUCGUCGGCAUCGACUCCACGGCCGCCUUUGACGCCGGAGGGUGCUCGCCGCGCCCAAAACCAUUGAUUUCAAUCUGCGAAAGCUGUUCCAGCAACCGAUCAAACCCCGACCCCAUCAAGAACUCCGACAUGGUCGCCGGCAACGGCCGAAGCCCGGACCCUGCCCCGUCAUCGUAGUACAAUUCAAAACUACUCCUCUCCACAACACCACCUUCACCACCACCUCCAUCAGCCGGACCGCGGAGCACAAUAACUGGAUUAAACGGAGACCGAUCACCGGCGUUCCUCCUGCUCCGCCGCAACCCUAGAUUCGCACUUUGCUCCGAAUCCGGCCGGUUGUUCCCCAGCAUGUACAUCGCAGUCGCCGGAAACCGACGGUGGUGAUUCUCCGAUCUCGGCGUGGCCUCAAUCUCCUCCAAGAAGCCACUCUCGCAGUACGGACACACGAUGCUAUCUUGAGCCCAAACUCUAACGAAACGAGUGCAUCUGUGACACCAAUAAGACGUCGUCGAAGCCAUCUCCAUACCAGAAACCCCACCAAAAGAGAUCGAUCCUUUUUCAGAUCCUCGGUUACCUGAACAAUUCACAACCCGAGUUGACUCUUCCAAAGAUCCCAAGAAUUGACUCAACAGAUCUGAGCCAAGAAGCCCCAACUCGCCGGAAACGACCCAGAUCCGACGGCUCAGAAAGAGCGAAACUUUGAGGGAAGAGAGGAGAGAGAGUACGAAGAAUACAAAGAAGAAGAAGACGAAGCUGAGGCUUUUAAGACUCGUCGUGGAGGGUUAACGGCGUAGUCUUGACGCGUGAGGCUGAGAAAGCGAUUAGACGGACGUUCCCUACGUGGCGGCCAUCGAUUGGAUGGACAUUGACGGCGUGAGUGGAGCGUGGAAGUGGACUGGUCAGCGGUGCGAGCACAUGGUAAUAUUUGAGAUAAAUUAUAUGAGGAAAAAGAAUCGGGGCGACUCCCGCGUCCAACUUGAAUCGUGGCUGGCGACGGGGGCAGACGUUGACUUGAAGGCGAAAUGUGGUGUUCAAAAUGCCGACUUUGAAAUUCAAAUCAUCGCCGUUUCGUGGUGAAAAAGAUUCCCAACCGAGGCUGAAGCCGGCUGACACUCGCCUUCUAAUUAAUAACAUCGGAAUACGACUGAAACGAAGGAAAAGAGGAGCAUCCUUCUCAUUUUGAUGUCUUGUACAAAAAAAUAAUUGCAGGCUGAUGUGUGAGAUGGGUCUCAUUCAAUAAAUGUACGGUACAAGAAAUUGAUUUUCUAUACCUAUGUGAUUUGGAGGAACUGGUUAUUAAUUUCACUUGUUUGGCAUAGUUAUUCUUAUGCUAUAAAUUUAAACCUAAAGUUUAAAUUGAUAAGGAAUAAACCGAUUAUGUUUAUUAAUUUCACUCUAAUUAUUGUGCGAGCGAAAAUUUUAAUGCAAAUAAUAUUAGUUUACUAAUACAAACAUAAAAUAAUAAUAAAAACAUACCCACGAGAUUUUAAUUUUAACAUGAUUCGUAUCUACAUCCCUGAAUGACAGAAAAUCUUUCUAUCAUACCAUAAAGAAUAUUAUAAAAAGUAAAACUAAAUAGAUUUCCAUAAAUAUCUUUUGUUUUUUAACUUUCUUUUUACAUCACCCAAAGUUUCAAUAUAUUUUAAAAAAUACAUGAAAGUGUCGUGAAUAACAACACCCUAAUCACAAUCCCUCUCAAAUAAAUGUUAUUGUAAAAAAAAACUUUAUAUUUGAUUCGAAAGCAUUUUAGUAAAUAAUAUAUAGUUGAUAGGACAUAAGUCACGAUGUCUUGUAACUAUUAACUUUUAUUUUUAAUAACAAAAGGAAUAAAAUGAUGAAUAUUCUUACCCUAUGUUUGGGAAUUAUUAUGACUUAAUUAAAGAAUAAUUAGGUUUUUGACAUCACCUAUGAAUAACAAAAGUAAGGACUUUCCUAUUCCUUGAAAAUAUAGGUAAAAGAUAUGAAAUAAAAUGUGUAGUCAACAUUUGACAAACCUCUCACAAUAUCUUAAGAGUUGUCUUCGACAUUCAAAUCUUGUUACCUAAUCUUGAUAAGUAUGGGAAAGGCAUGUUAAACAAGAUGGGGAAGAAAAUAAAGAAAUUGAAAAAUUAAAACUUUAAAUUUCUGUGGCCUAAGGCUGCAUUAUGGAACACUUUCCCUUUUCCCAUCUGGUUUAAGGUGGUAGGGUACACUUGACUUGCUUGAAAAACAAAACAGUAUCAAAUUUGCAAGAGAGCCAUCCAAAUGGAAGAUGGGCUACAAGUCAAAAACAAAAGAGAAAAUGACAAGGCAAUGGUAUUUUCUACAACAAAAAGUUUUACCAUCACGCCAAGAAAAAAGUUUGUAUAGUAUGAGUUGCACUUAAGUAUCUCCACAUGUUUUUAUAGUUACGUGUACAUAUUAGAAUGAAUAGUAUUUAUAUAAUUAAGAAUCAAUUAUUAUAAAUAAUAUUAAAAUCGAUCAUUAAUCCUGGGUCUUGUUUGACGCUGAAAAAAAUAUAUUUAUUUAUUUGAUUUCACAAUUUUAUAAGACACGAUAAAGACAUUAUUAUUAUAUAGAACGAAUAUGAUAUUUUACAUCGGAUUGAAAAAAGUGUUCCUAACACAAUAUCUAAACAAUUGAAAAUGGAUAGUUUCAAAUAUGGAGAUAACAAAGAAUGGAGCUUCCCUUAUUAGAUGCUUCCAUAUUUUUUAAAAUAAAAGUUUAUAUUGGAAUUUGUAUUAUUUUUAACAUUUUUUUAAAAUUUUAUUUAUAAUGCUUUAUUUUUAAUCAUUUGAAUUACUUUUUAAAAAACUUUGAAAACACAAAUUUCGAAAUUCCAUUUUCUAAAAAGAAAAAUUACCAAACAUGUUUCCAACUAUGGAAAAAAAAUUGAAAACAGUUGGGAAAGGCUCUGUUAUAUCUCCCUUCUCCCACCCCCCAUUUAGAAGUAGCUAAAAGUACAAAUUGUGUUUACUCUUGACCUUGGGGGACAGACCCAAAAGAAAGAGAUCAUUGGUUGCCCACUCCUCUCUGUUUCCACCACCCCUUUCAUUUCUAAUAAACAGCAUGGUCCAUAAGUUUCUGUUGAAGUGCACGCUAGAAAAGUACCCUUUAACUCCCACAUGGCCCCUUUCUUUUGGUACAUUUCUUAGGUAAAAGGGAGUUGCUUGUUUUUAUAGCCAUGUAAAGUUCAGUGUGCAUCAUUAGGUAAUAGUAUUUUUCAGUUCUUGCUUCAUCUUCAUAGUUUUUCUUUUUAAUUUCCUUUUUUUUUUUUUUUUUGGUUGCAAUGAGUAAUUUGAAAGAUUUGGGAAGGAAGAUGAAUGUUUAGUGGACUAAAGCUUUCACUCUCUGCAAUAUCCCACUUUAAUAAUGAGUGUAAGGUGGAAGUUAGAGUCAUGAGGUUUCUUUAUGAAGGCUGAGCUAGUCACCACACAAAUUCAUGGAAAAGGAAAUGAAAAAGGGAGGAAACUAGAAAGAAAGCUUUCGAUAAAGAGAUGGUAAUGGGAAUCUCAAACCUUUUCCAAUACCAUUUUGUCUCAAUUUUAAUGGCUAUGCUUUUCGUCUCUCCCUCUCUUAGUAUUUUACCCAAUCAAAGUUUCUUUCCCAAAGAAUAAUAACCUGCAAGAAAAGCUAUAUACUUGUGGUGUUCUUGUGAUAGAAAUGUCCAAAACCCAAAAAAAAAAGCAGAAAACCCACUUCAUAACAGGCCAGAAAUGAGAUAACAUUCAUGUUGUUUGCUGUCAUUUUCUUCUAUAGACCAUCACUACAACGUAUUGUAAGGGAAAAUCAACAAAAAUGGGGUCCUGCUUUGUGUUGUGCCAUUUUCUGGGUCCAAUAGAGUAUAUGGAAAGGUGAGGAAUAUACCUUUGCUCAUUCCUUGGUUAGAAAUAGCUAGCAAGGAACAAGAUCACCUUUCCCUGAAAGCACAAAAAUAUCAAAAUAUUGUAGUGGUGCUUGGAUGAAAUGCUGUGAAAAAUACCCAAUCUUUUAACCAUAGAAGGUAUUGGUGCUGUGGUCCAAUGCUACUUGCAUUAUGCAUUAUAUAGAAGGUUGCAAAGUAGAUGUAUUGUUUGAACAUUUUUGCCACUGAGUGGAGUGGUGGUUCCCCUCAUGCCAGCCUUGCACCUUGCCUCACCAAAAAGAAGUUUUCUAGUGCAGCUCAUUCGGACUCUAUCAGUUAAUCACAAACCUACUUUUAGCUAUAGAGAAUUUAUGAACCCCACUCCAAUUUUGCACUAUUUCUUAUCAAGUGUUGGUUGAUGAGCAUAGCAUAAAGUAUUGCAAAGAAUUUUAUGAUUCAUAGGAAAAUUCUAAUAGCUUUAAAACAUGUUUACAUAAUUAAAAGGGGUUCAUUACCGAUGUACCAGACAUGGGAUGUCAUAUUCUUUAUAGUGUACGACAACAUCAGAAUAGUAAUGAGGACGGGAAAUGCAUGUAAAAUCUCUUAAGUAGCCAUUGAUACAUGUUCUUGGCCUACGGAUUGGGUGGGUUCCUGAGUAGCCAUUCAUUGCUGACAAUAAUGUUGGCUUGGUUGCCCCAUGACUGAAACUUCACUUUCAGCAUUGAUCAAAGUUCUGUAUACUACACGUCUAUGAAACAUAGCCAAUCUCUCUCAACAUGCUCCGGAUUUGUCCAAGCUUCCCUUCUAGGCCAAACAUCAAGGACCUCAUGGAGAAACCCAAGAAACUUUGCUACCGAAAUUUCACUUUCAGCAUUAUCAUAAAGAUGUGAACAUACCUUAUAGGAGAUCAAACCAAUCUAAUUUGUAAAAUUAUUCCUCUACUUUUUUUUUAUCUUAAAAAUAUCCAUUUUGAACAAGAAUAUUCUUAAUUUUUUUUCUAAUAAAAAUAAUCUUUUCAUUUAAAAACACAUGUAAAUAAUUAUAAUUUUGAGGGGUAUUAAUGUCAAAAUGGGUUGUUUUUUAAGUUAAAAAAUUGAAAGAGAUUAGUUUUAUUUACAAAGCCACCAAGCUUGAUAUAAGGGAGAAUUCAAAUAUCCUAAGUUAUGUUUGGUUUCCAAAAAAUUUGAAGAAAAAUGCAAGAAAGAAAAAUACAAAGAAAAUAAAAAAUAGAUUAAAAGUUGAUAAAUUAUUUUUUUUGUUACUUCAAACUCAUUUUAUUUAUUUUAACUCAUCAAUAUAAAGAUUAAAUAAUUUAAAAAUACAUAAAAUUUUAAUUAGUUUUAAUCAUAUUCGAUUUUCUUUGAUAUUUUUCAUAGGACAACCAAAUAUGAAAAAAAUUAUUGCAUUUUUUUUUCUUUCCUUUAAAGCUAUGUUUGGUUCUAGAAAAAUUUGAAGGAAAAUGCAAAGGAAAGAAAAUAGAGAGAAAAAGUAAAAGGAAAGAAAAAGGAAGGAAAAUAAAAAAUAGAGUUAAAUAUGAAAAAUUAUUUUUAUUUGAUACUUCAAACUUAUUUUAUUUAUUUUAACUCAUCAAUAUAAAGAUUAAAUAAUUUUAAAAUAUAUAAAUUUCUAACUAAUUUUAAUCAUAUUUAAUUUUUUAAAAAAAUAUUUUAUAGGAGAACCAAACAUGAGAAAAUCGCUUUUCUUAAUAUUUUUUUUUCUAUCUUUUAUAUUUUCCGGAACCAAACAUAACAUAAAUGUCAUAAAAAAAAAUUGAGCUUAAAGUCCGCAAGAUGGAUAUUUGAAUUGGGCUUGGAUUUUAGUGGGUUCCUUCCAUUUCAUACGUGUAUGCACAACAGCAUUGAGAUACUUGCAUGUUCUUAAGUGGCAACUCACCAAUAGUGACAUGUAGCCAAAAAAUUGUAACCGAAAAUAAAGCAAAGCUGGGGUUGACUGUUGCCUUGCUCCCUUUCACAUAUGGUGCCAAAUGCUACCAUCAUCAGCUGCUCACGAGAAACUACAUUUUCUUCAACAAAAGACGCCACCAGUCAGCCAUGAAAGUCUCUACCAAGUUCCAAGCCGCACCCACCCCCACCUACAGGUUUGGUUUCAAGGACUAUGAUUUAUAAUAUGUAGUGUUUAAUCAUACCUAACUCCUAAGACUAUUAUUUAGCUUGGGUUUUGGACCAAAUAGCAUUGAGAACUAAUUAUUUAUUGCCGGUUGUGUUCAGGGAAUCCGAUAAUAGUGAAGCUAAAACUAUCAUUAAUUUAGGUUUUGGACCAGUGGCAUUGAGAAUUAUAAAUCCUAUGAUUUUAAGAAGCAUUUUCUUUUUUUCUUUUUUGUCUAAAAAGUGUUUUAAAAAAAAUUAGGUGUUUAACAAAUUUUUAAAAAUAUUUUUAAAAAUCUGAAAAAUCAUCUAUAGUGUUAAAAAAUCACUUAGAAUCCAUUUGGUAGUGAUUCUAAAAAACGUUUAUAACAUUUCUAAUACUUAAAAGAUAAAAAAUUUUAUGUGUUAGAAAUACUAAAAAUACUUUCUAAAAUCACUACUAAACACACUCUUAUAAUGUUUUUUAAAAAGCACUUGAUACUCAUAAAAAUACUUUCGAAAAAAACACCAUUAAACACACUUUAAGUUAUUUUAAAAUAGUAUAAAUAAUUUUUCAGAUCUUUAAAAAUGUUCAUAAAUUUUGUUAAACAUUUAUUUAAAAAAAAAUUUAAACUUAAAACAUUUUCUAAAAUCAUUAUCAAACGGAUUGUUAACGGGUUAUAGCCGAUUAGGUCAGAGGAAAUGUGAGAAGCAACAAAAAGAAAAAUAAAAAAGAAAAAAAAAAUAAAGAGGGAAAAAAACCACUUGCAUAAUGCGAAUAAAGAUUGUUGAUGUCCAACUAGUUUUUUAAAAUUUUGUAGAUGAUUAGUAUUUGGAUUUAUAAUAUUUAUUAUCAUUUUCAACAAAAAGUGAUUUUUAUUUAAUAAUAAUUUUAAAUUUACAAUUUUUUAUAAAAAUUUACUAUGAAAAAAGAAAACCAUGGAUUUAUUUAAAAUAAAUUUUGUUAUUUAGUUCAAUCUUAUUCACGUAAAAGUAAAUCUCACUCAUUUUUGGAUUUGCCACAAGUAAAAAACCAUGGUUUUUGCAUUAAAAAAGUUUUUAAAAGUUAUUUAGGUGUGCAGAACCAGAAAACCUAAAAAUUUCAAAAAAUGUUGUUAUUCUACCCUAGUUCCAAGAACUCUCAAAAUCAAGAUUUCGGUUAAUAAAGCUUAAAAUCACUUUUAGAGAGGAAAGAUAGAUGUCAAACAUUCUAAGUAACCAAGUGGUCAAGUCUUAACAUAUUUUUAAGGUGAUUCACUAAGGAGUGAAGAGAUCCAUGUCACACAUGAAGAAUAUAUAUAAGUAAUGUAAAAUUAUGUAUGAUUCCUUUAAAUUUGGUGGAUUUUUAUUUAUUUAUUUAUUUAUUUUAAUGGUGGAUAGACAUGUUUUGUAUUUAUGGAGGUUAGAAUAAUCUCCACAAGUGAUUUUCUAUAUAUAUAUAUAUUUUGUUUUGGAUGCAAUUGGAUUUGUUAUGGAUUAUUAGGAUUCAUAGAAUUUCUCAAUACAAAUUUUAGAAUUGAAUCCAAAUAGUUACAAAGGGGGAUAAUUGAUUUAAUUUAAUCAAUCUAAAAUAAGUUUAUAUCAUUAAUUUAAAAUAUUCUAAUUGGGCAUAAAAUAAAGUAUUAAUUCACUUUCUUAAAAUAGCUCCUUGAUUCUAGAAAACGGACUUACAAAUAGUAUCAAUGCUAGUUAAAAUUUUCAAAUAAUAUUUUUUAAUAUUUUUUUUUAUUCCUGCUAUAAUUCUUGGAUCAUGGAAUCAUUAAGAAUUAGAUCAUUCAAGCUAUAUUUGGAUCUCGAGAAUAAUUUUUUGUAUUUUAGAAUAAAAAAUGAAAAUAAAAAUUAUUUAUUAAUCAUUUCUUUGUAAAAUUGCUUUGAAAAACAAUGUUUUAUGAUAACAUAUUUUAAUGGUUUUCAAUUGUUUUGGGGGAAGUGUUUUAAAAAAUAAUUGCACAAAUAUAAAAAAAAUGAUUGAAAAUAGAACAUUACAAAUAAAAGUUACUCCAUAACAAUAUUUUAAAACACAAAAAAUAAGUUAAAAAUAUCACGAGUUUCUAAACUGACAUUUAUUCAAAACACUUAUCAAACAAACCCUUGUUAAUUAUCCAUCAUUUUUUUUAUGGCAACAACGACCCAUUAGAAAGAACAUAUGAAAUUCUUGAAAUUGGAGGCAAAUUAGUUUGGAAUGUAAUGAAAUUUUGGUGGCUAAUUACCACUAAUUACAUUUCAAUUGAUUUCUUAAAUGAAUUGAAUGUACGAAAGUUGAUCACUCAAAUAUUCAAAGCCUAUAAUAUUAUUCAAAUAAUCAAUUGAAUGAGAAUGUCAUUUACUUAUACGUAGAUUUUGUUUAAUAAUGAUUUUAAGAAGUGUUUUUAAAAUUUUUAAUAUUUAAAAGGUAAAAAUUUUAAAGUGUUAAAAAUACUAAAAACGCUUUUAAGAAUCACUAUCAAACAUGCUCUUAGAGAUUUUUCAAUCAACUUUCAAUUGAGUAUCUUAUUUGAGAGAUUGAAAAUUAAAUUGAUGAAAUUUUGAGAAAUUUUAUUAAAUCAAUGCCCUUGUUCAUCAUAAAUUCUAAAUUAUCUUAAAUCCUACAAUAAUUCUAUUCAUCCCCUCUACUACACCAUUGAUAAAGACUAUGGAAUUAGAACGUGGGCUUUCUUCUAUACAUAUCUAGAAUUCCUCCAUGGCUAAGAAUGGAUAUGAGUUGAGGCAGAGAAUAUAAGAGAUAAUGUAAACAAAUGGGUGCACGUGACUCACCAUUAAUUCACAUAAAAGGAGAAGACGUAGAGCAUAUGAGGGCAAUGGAGGAGAGUGGAAGAGCACAUGAGUCCCUUUCUUCUUUUCUAAUAUUAACUCAUCUUUUCUCACUGACAUAAAAUCUUUUCCAAACUUAAUUGGAUUUCCUAAUUUUGGAAUCCAAUUCCAACCCACUUUUCUUCAAGGGCGAAGUCACUUUCCCAUGGAUUGGAACUCGGCUUUAUUGAGGAAGUAUGGCCUCCAACCAAUUCUCCCUUUGUCUCCCCAUUUGGUUAGUCUUUUAGCCUUCAAUUUGUUUUGUCAUUUCCACUUUUCUUUUUUUCUUUUCAAUUAUUUUCCAUCACAUCAAGAAAGUUAAUAUAGUAAGAAUUCAUAUACUAUGACAAGUGUCCCAUGCAAAUAUCCCAAAUUUUUAAUUAAUAAAGAUUUCAAAGGAUAUUGUAUGAAAUAUAUUUUUAAGUUUAUGUAUAAUUAUAAUAUUAGAUUUUAUUAUAACAUAUGAAAAAUGAUGGAAAAUAUCGUUAUAAAUAUUAUAGGUUGUAAAGGAAAAAAGUUAUUAUACGAGAUGACUUGUAGAAACUAUACGAGGUGAACGAAGAGGAAAAAAUAACAUAAAAAACCCGAUAAAGUGAGAGGGGUUUGUAACAGGGUAUGGAGACAAGAAGUAAAUAAAAAUGAGAUAUUUCGAGAACUUAACAAUUGUAUUCGGUUAUGUCCUUUAUAGCAUUUUCUAUUGUAUAGUGGAAAAAUUAUUUCUCAUCUGACAGUAUAAGUAUAGUUGUUAGUUCGAACUACAUUACAAUCUUGUGUAUUUUUUUAUUGAUUAUUUUAUUUUUGUAUUCUUGAUUUAACAUUAUUUGCAUUAAAACUUUUGUUGACACAAUAAUAUUAAAAUUGAUUUUUGACCUUAAUACAAAGUUUGGAGUUUCAUUGAGCAUCUAUUUAUACAUUUUAAAGUUGUAAGGAUUUAUUCAAUCACGAUUUCCAAUAUAUAUAUUUUGAAUGUUUUAUAGAGUUGAAUAAUAAUUUAAAUUUGGUUCAUGAAAUGAAGAAUUGGUAGAGGUUGUAUUUAAAAGAAAAUUUAUUUUUUAUAUAUGAAAUAAAUAAUCAUAAUGGAUACAUUUCAGAUUCAAUACAACUCAUGACUCUUAAAACAAAAUCUUAUUUAGACAAAAAAAAACUAAAAAAAAAUAUAAUUACAAAAACAGAAGUUGGGUUUAUGUGGCUAAAAUCAGAUAUGGAAGAUAAGAAAUAAAAUAAAAUAAAAAGGAGAGUGGAAAAAAAAAGGAGAGUUAAAAGAUAAAUUUACCACAGAGUUAACGGUCGACUUUUACUGUGCAAAUGAAUCUAAAGUGAUGACGUGGCAGUCAGUUUUUUGGAACACGAGGAAAACAAACAUCAUUAAUAUCUGCAAUUUUUUCAACAUCAGUCGGUUUUCACUUAGUCAGUUGCCACCUAUUUUUUUGGAAUAUUUCCAAUUAAUUAUUAGAAAAUUAAAAAUAAUUAACAAUUAAUCACAAGUUUUUGAGGUGUAUAAAAGAAAAAUAAGAAACCCCCCCCCCCAAAAAAAAAAAACAAAAUCCCAAAAAGAAAAAUCCAUUACUGUAUUUAAUUGUUGAUGAGGAACAAAACCCUAAGGGGUUCUUGUAAGAACAAAUCGCCGCCGGAUUGAUCUCAACCGUCAAUACCGCUCCUCUUCUUCUUGAUCUCAGCUCACUGUCUUUUUUGGGUUUUUGUUUUUCUGGUUUCUCGCAACGACUUUCUUACACUGCCGUUGUUUUUGUUGUCGAGGUUGAAGGAAAGUGGAAAAAUAUGUUGUGGGGAAUUUGUUUGGGUAAUUCAUGAGACGGAGUUCGCGGGAGGAUGGUUUGUUUUGGGUUGUGGUUUCGUGUUUUGAUCGAGGGGGGGUUUCGGUUUUAGGGUCCGAAGUGGUGAAGUGGAGUUGAAAAAAUUGGUUUUUGGUUAUAAAGUCUUGGUUUUUUGUUAUCCGUUUGGAAGAGGAGAUUCUGAGGUUGUAAGCAUGGGUUUUAGGUGUUUGGGAGCAUGGCUGUUGGUUCUGGAAGCUUUUUAGGGUUUAGGGUUUGGUUUUGGUUUGUUGGAUGAUCAAUUGGAGCCGGUGAAAAUGUUGUCUGAAUUGGGGAGGAGGCCGAUGCUCAAAAACGGUGACGGAUCGUUUGGGGAUGAUUUGGAGAAGGAUAUAGGGUUGUUGCUUCGUGAGCAGCGGCGUCAAGAGGCGGAUGAUUAUGAAAAGGAGCUAAAUUUGUAUAGAAGUGGGUCUGCUCCGCCAACUGUUGAGGGUUCUAUGAAUGCAGUUGGGGGUUUGUUCGGUGGUGGAGCUGCCUUUCCGGGAUUUCCAGAUGAUGGGAAUGGGAAUGGGUUCGCGUCUGAGGAGGAGCUUAGGUCUGAUCCAGCUUACCUUUCUUAUUACUAUUCAAAUGUGAAUUUGAACCCACGGCUCCCACCUCCAUUGCUUUCCAAGGAGGAUUGGAGGUUUGCUCAAAGACUGAAAGGAGGGAGUUCUGGAUUGGGAGGGAUUGGAGAUAGAAGGAAAAUGAAUAGAAAUGAUAGUGGUAGUGUUGGUAGAUCGAUGUAUUCGAUGCCACCAGGGUUUAAUUCGCGGAAAGAAGAGACUGAGGCAGACUCAGAGAAACUUUGCGGUUCAGCAGAGUGGGGUGGCGAUGGACUCAUCGGGUUGUCAGGGUUAGGACUAGGGAGCAAACAGAAGAGUCUUGCAGAAAUUUUUCAGGUGAGUUUCUUCUGUGGUUUUGCUGCUUAUAUGGUUUAUGUCCACUUCUUACUUACCAUACUGUUUCUGAAUAUCCAAGGUUGAGAUCUUCUGAUUACAAUGUAGAUUAUCACUUUUUGAUCGGUGCUAGUUUGACUAUCCAAGGAAAAAUUUGCCCUUGUUGCGGCAUUUAUGGUUUCCUGUUGAUAUUUGACAUAUAUCAUAUUGUAUCUCUAUGGGGAAUCAUCAGAAUAAAGGUUGUGGUAUGUCAUGUGCUUUAAAGGGAUAAUUUGUAUUGUCAUGUUUCCAAUGAUUGUGGUUUGAGUAUAAUUCCCUUCCUUGGAUUGUCUAUUUUGACGGUUAUUGUACUGGCAAUCUUUGCCAUGUAACAAAUUGCAUCUAUAUGGGAAGUUUGAGUCAUCUUUUUAAAAUCUUGUUUGACACGUGUUUUGAACGGAUGAUUAUGUGCUCCCUCUGUACAUGUCAAGAUUAUGAGUUUUUGUUUACAUAGUUUUGUUAUAAGGGGCGGACAUGUAAACUAUAUAGAGAAGUUUGUGUCAUCAGAUUAAAGAUCUAGGUUUGACACGUGUUUUGUAGGGAAAAUGAUAUUCUCUCACUCUCUUUGCUGAUGAUGAUAAUUUUUUAUGUUUCAUGUCAAUUUGAAUCCUUUAUGUUGAUUUCUUGUUCAUGUAGUUUUGUCUCUUAUAGGGUUUGGGCAUGUGACAAAUUGCAUCUAUAUAGAGAACUUUGGGUUGUCAAAUUAUGCUAUGGUUGGCACAUGUUUUGAAGGAAAAAUGAUAAUUGGCUCCCUGUUCUUUCCCUGGACUAUUACACCUUCAUAUAGUUAAUUUGAAUCAUUUAUGCUGAUGUCUUGUUCUUGUAGGUUUGUUUCUUAUAAAGGCUGGAUUAGUUAAUCUAUAUUUAGCAUAGCUUGGGAAAUAAUAAAGUAUUUGUCAUAGUUGUUACAGGUCCGCUUAAAGCGCGCCUAGGCUUAAGGUGCAAUCAUUCUCUAGCUAUAACGCUUCACCUACUAAUAGGCGCACCUUGUUGGAGAGGCUUUCUUCGUUGUUUCCUUUUUCUUUCUAUAAUAUUGUAUUCUUGAAAUUUCUGACAGUAUAUUUAAGCUUUAUGUGUAGGGUCUUGUUGAGGAGUGCUGUUUUUUGUUAGUCCCUCUUUGUUUUUUUGGUUGUGCUUUAGGCCCCCUUUGUAUGCUCCCUGUGUUCUUUGGGGCGCUUUUGGCAUUUCUCUUUUUAAUACAUGUUUUUUCUUUACCUAUCAAAAAAAAA
This 26893-nucleotide long non-coding RNA is filed under the name Vitis vinifera (wine grape). RNAcentral's name for it is "long non-coding RNA (VVIN_LNC001737)". The record is from RNAcentral. Lineage: Eukaryota; Viridiplantae; Streptophyta; Magnoliopsida; Vitales; Vitaceae.